RNAcentral lists this transfer RNA (69 nucleotides) under Marmota monax (woodchuck). RNAcentral describes it as "tRNA.Ala". It matches the Rfam family "tRNA". From Rfam's summary of the family: Transfer RNA (tRNA) molecules are approximately 80 nucleotides in length. Their secondary structure includes four short double-helical elements and three loops (D, anti-codon, and T loops). Lineage: Eukaryota; Metazoa; Chordata; Mammalia; Rodentia; Sciuridae. The record is from RNAcentral.
GGGAUAUAGCUCAGUUGGUAGAGUGCUUGCUUAGCAUGCACAAGGCCCUAGGUUCAAUCCCUGGUCCCA